AUCCUUACCAGGCAGGGGAGAUACCAUAAUCACAGGAUGACCCUCCCAGGGUGAGUCUUAUCCAUUGCACUCCAGAUGUGCUGAGCUGACCCCUGAGAUUUUCCCCAAAUGCAGAAAACUUAAUUGCAUAAAAAAAGAAAAGAAAGCCGGGCGUUGGUGGCACACACCUUUA
Small nuclear RNA from Cricetulus griseus (Chinese hamster), 172 nucleotides. Its record names the gene U1. It matches the Rfam family "U1 spliceosomal RNA". From Rfam's summary of the family: U1 is a small nuclear RNA (snRNA) component of the spliceosome (involved in pre-mRNA splicing). Its 5' end forms complementary base pairs with the 5' splice junction, thus defining the 5' donor site of an intron. NCBI's taxonomy places the organism in Eukaryota, Metazoa, Chordata, Mammalia, Rodentia, Cricetidae. The record is from Ensembl.